Molecule: long non-coding RNA, 314 nt
Filed under: Sus scrofa (pig)
Lineage: Eukaryota; Metazoa; Chordata; Mammalia; Artiodactyla; Suidae
Description: lncRNA (ENSSSCG00030019395.1)
Source: RNAcentral
CUUGAGCUCCUGGAAAUCACCCAUUUAUCUGUUUCUAUGAAUUCAACACUUUGGAGAUUCCACAUAUAGACUUGCUUUCCCUGCUCCUUCAUUCACACAGUGGACCGUGGCUACUCCCAACUCUUUAAUUGAAGAGAAUCUUCUUGCCCUACAUUAUGUCAGUUUCAUGAACUACUGCCAGGAGGCGAAAGUUACAUACACCUGGCUUCCCAGGGAAGAUCUCAAAGUUCCUAGAUGACAAAACUGAGGCCCAGAAGGAGAAAGUGAUUUGCAUGAUGUCACACAACCUAGUAAGCUAUAUGCCAAGACCAGCG